CCUACGGGGGGCAGCAGUAAGGAAUAUUGGACAAUGGUCGAAAGACUGAUCCAGCCAUGCCGCGUGAAGGAUGAAGGCCCUAUGGGUUGUAAACUUCUUUUGUACGGGAAAAAACCCUCGCUCGUGAGCGAGGCGGAUUGUACUGUAAGAAUAAGGAUCGGCUAACUCCGUGCCAGCAGCCGCGGUAAUACGGAGGAUCCAAGCGUUAUCCGGAUUCAAGGGGGUGUAGGGGUGAGUGGACGUAAGUGGUGAAAUCUCUCGGCUUAACCGAGAAACUGCCAUUGAUACUGCAAAUCUUGAGUACAUUUGAGGUGGGCGGAAUGUGUCAUGUAGCGGUGAAAUGCUUAGAUAUGACACAGAACACCGAUUGCGAAGGCAGCUCACAAAACUGUAACUGACGCUGAGGCACGAAAGCGUGGGUAUCAAACAGGAUUAGAUACCCGAGUAGUC
Molecule: ribosomal RNA, 450 nt
Filed under: uncultured bacterium
Lineage: Bacteria
Description: partial 16S ribosomal RNA
Rfam family: Bacterial small subunit ribosomal RNA
Source: RNAcentral